UGGGGAAUAUUGGACAAUGGGCGAAAGCCUGAUCCAGCAAUUCCGCGUGUGUGAAGAAGGCCUUCGGGUUGUAAAGCACUUUAGUGGGGGAAGAAACAGCUUGGCCACACCAAGCCUUGACGGUACCCCAAGAAUAAGCACCGGCUAACUCUGUGCCAGCAGCCGCGGUAAUACAGAGGGUGCAAGCGUUAAUCGGAUUUACUGGGCGUAAAGGGUGCGUAGGUGGUUUUUUAAGUCGGAUGUGAAAGCCUGGGGCUCAACCUCAGAAUUGCAUUCGAUACUGGGAAACUAGAGUUCGGUAGAGGGCGGCGGAAUUUCCGGUGUAGCGGUGAAAUGCGUAGAUAUCGGAAGGAACAUCAAUGGCGAAGGCAGCCGCCUGGGCCUGGACUGACACUGAGGCACGAAAGCGUGGGGAGCAAACA
RNAcentral lists this ribosomal RNA (422 nucleotides) under uncultured bacterium. RNAcentral's name for it is "partial 16S ribosomal RNA". It matches the Rfam family "Bacterial small subunit ribosomal RNA", at positions 355 to 774 of the family's 1533-position model. The record is from RNAcentral.